UACGUAGGGUGCGAGCGUUAAUCGGAAUUACUGGGCGUAAAGCGUGCGCAGGCGGUUUUGUAAGCCAGAUGUGAAAUCCCCGGGCUCAACCUGGGAACUGCAUUUGUGACUGCAUCGCUGGAGUGCGGCAGAGGGGGAUGGAAUUCCGCGUGUAGCAGUGAAAUGCGUAGCUAUGCGGAGGAACACCGAUGGCGAAGGCAAUCCCCUGGGCCUGCACUGACGCUCAUGCACGAAAGCGUGGGGAGCAAACAGG
RNAcentral lists this ribosomal RNA (253 nucleotides) under uncultured bacterium. RNAcentral's name for it is "partial 16S ribosomal RNA". It matches the Rfam family "Bacterial small subunit ribosomal RNA", at positions 524 to 776 of the family's 1533-position model. The record is from RNAcentral.